This 387-nucleotide long non-coding RNA is filed under the name Hordeum vulgare. RNAcentral's name for it is "long non-coding RNA (HVUL_LNC015000)". Lineage: Eukaryota; Viridiplantae; Streptophyta; Magnoliopsida; Poales; Poaceae. The record is from RNAcentral.
UCGUGAGCUAGCCCCACCGCAUGAUGUUGGCGUCUAAUUUCAGGGUCUCUAAUCAGGAUUACAUGGACUGGCUGUACAGCGACGGCACCACCGUCGACACAAGAGCACGUACACGCUUGACUGGAUUUGUUGGAACACAGUAGUAUACAAUCUUGCUUUGAGGCAGGCCUUACAGGCUUGGUUGUGUUUGAAAAAAAAUACGUGCUUGGCUUGAUAUUUUUUAGAACAAGUAUACGAUCUGGCUUUCAUGUAGUACGUACAUGUUUGACUGGAUUUUUAGGAUGCACAAGUGUCUUCUUAAAGGCAGGCUGCUGGAUCAAUUUCAUCUAUUACUGCUACUUUUUCGACCGGCCGGAAAUACACAGGCUUACUACAAUGGUAUAGUGU